GGCGCCAUCGUCUAGUCUGGUCUAGGACGCCGCCCUUUCACGGCGGAAACACGGGUUCGAAUCCCGUUAGCGCUACCA
Molecule: transfer RNA, 78 nt
Filed under: bacterium
Lineage: Bacteria
Description: tRNA-Glu
Rfam family: tRNA
About the family: Transfer RNA (tRNA) molecules are approximately 80 nucleotides in length.
Source: RNAcentral